AUGUAGUGUGACAUGCCCGUUUGGGUUUUACUCUGAUUGCUGAGAUAUUAUUAUUUAGUUGAUUUUGGGAAACGGGGUGUUACAGCUUGA
Medicago truncatula (barrel medic) is the source of this 90-nucleotide microRNA precursor. It matches the Rfam family "MIR2617 microRNA precursor family". NCBI's taxonomy places the organism in Eukaryota, Viridiplantae, Streptophyta, Magnoliopsida, Fabales, Fabaceae. The record is from Rfam.